CAGCUAUCUCCCUCCCUGUUCUGAGCCUUGGCUAAAGCUUCUCUGAAUACAAUUCCAAGCACACAGCCUUCUGGAUGAGACUCCUGCCAAGCUCACCCCGUGUGCUUCCAUUAUCCCUCAGAGAGCGGAAACUGGAAGAACAAGGCGAGUGCCGACCUCUGAGGAUGUGUCCCCAGCACGGCAAGUUGAGGCCUGAGCCCUGGAGGCUCCAUGGCCAGCCAGGCAGAGGCCACCUGCGGGUGCAGUCAGCGCUGCUGAAGGCUGGGGCUCGCUCCCUGCACCCAGCCACCUUCAAAGCCAACCUUGUAUUUUCUUGUUUCCUUCAGAAUUCUCAGGUGAGUCUAUCCAUCCAUCCCUGCUCUCAAAGAUGCACUGUUCGGAUGGGGGAAAGAUGGUGUUCCCGCUGUAGCCAUCGGGCACUAGGCUCUGGGCAUUCAAGCUGGGA
RNAcentral lists this long non-coding RNA (445 nucleotides) under Ictidomys tridecemlineatus (thirteen-lined ground squirrel). RNAcentral describes it as "lncRNA (ENSSTOG00000029560.1)". Lineage: Eukaryota; Metazoa; Chordata; Mammalia; Rodentia; Sciuridae. The record is from RNAcentral.